CAGAGUUAUCCAACUCCCAAACCCAUGUGAACUUAUCUCUUUGUUGCCUCGGCGCAAGCUACCCGGGACCUCGCGCCCCGGGCGGCCCGCCGGCGGACAAACCAAACUCUGUUAUCUUAGUUGAUUAUCUGAGUGUCUUAUUUAAUAAGUCA
Molecule: unclassified non-coding RNA, 152 nt
Filed under: soil metagenome
Also listed under: 1 other name
Description: partial internal transcribed spacer 1
Source: RNAcentral